Molecule: long non-coding RNA, 1821 nt
Organism: Pseudopipra pipra
Lineage: Eukaryota; Metazoa; Chordata; Aves; Passeriformes; Pipridae
Exons: 2
Source: RefSeq, a predicted model, not a curated record
GGACUGGAUGAGCUUUAAGGUCCCUUCCAACCUGAACCAUUCUGGGAUUCCGUGAUUCUAUGACUUCAUAUACUACCAAGUUCUUCUCCUGGCAAGCCAGCCUUGUUCCAGAGCACUUGGAGGAAGCAAAAAGGUGGAUGUGGAUCUCUUGGAAGGGAGGGAGACCUAAAAGGACUGAGCAGGAGGUCUGGAAGGGGGUAACUUUCAAGCAGAGCCAACUCAGAAGGCAGCUUUGACAUCCUGCAUGUACAAGGAGACCUUUGCAGAGCCUCUGGACUCUCCUUAAACACGAGUUUCUCCCUCCCUGGUGCUUUCUGGGGUCACCCUGAGUGUGAGUUGGUGAGGUGAGGAGCUGCUUUGCACACUCCAGCCUCCCUUCCUUGUCUUUACAAGUGCUUUUCUCUUAUCUUAUAGUAUUUUGCAAAACCUCACAAGCUUUUAGUGGCAAGACUUUUGCUAAGAGGCUGUUGAUGACUCUGGAGUAGACAGCAGGAGGGCUUUAGUGACGUGUUCUCUUCCUUUCCAUUGGAAAAAGCAGCUUAUCUGCUUUGGAGAAUACAGCUUCUUCCUCCUUAUCCGUGCUGAAAUCUUAUCUAAACUGGUUCAGGUGGCGGAGCUGAGAGAAGGAAAUAAUUAAGCGAGACACAGGUGAAAUGCUGACAUUAUUAUUACUUAAAUGGCCCAAACCUUUUACCUCGUGUAUUUUUUAUUAUUAUUUUACUUUGUUUUUUUAUUGCUUCUGACACCUAACAAGGGAUAAAUCGGUUUUUCCAGGUUAUCUCACCCAUCCACACACAUGCCACUUCACCCCCCCCUCCUCCCCACCCAAAUAUAAAUCUCCUUUAACUGGUUCUGUUGGCAAGACAGAGAAAUAAUUAAGGCGAAGGUGGCUGCAGUGUUGAUGUUAUUACUGUAAUGCAGCAGCCUGUUUAGUUUCUUUGCCAAUGAAAUGCAACCAGGGGAAAAUCAGUUUUAAAGAUUACCUCCCAGAGAUGCAAAUAAAGGAGCGGAAACCAUGUAGUCAGGAAGAAAUGGUCUCAAACUAGGAAACAUUUCAAAGUCGGUGACAGUCUCUUAGGAGCUUUUAAGACCACAAUUUACCUUUUGACUGCAUUCUAUUUUCUCUGAAAUCCUUUAUUUCCCUCUUAUUUAUUGACUGGAGAGACAGCACAGAAACAAGAAAGUGAUUCUCCAGCCGCUGGUCUUAAAAAUCCAUAGAAGGAAAUUGUUCUCGGGAGGGAGGAUUUUUGUUGUUGUUGGGCACUUCGUUUUCCCUCCCCCCUCCACCCCCUUGUUUUUAGCCCUCUCUGUGAACCAGGGCUUAAUUGAAUCACUUUGCCAUGGAGGGGCCUCAGACUGGAAGGGAUCAAGGUCAGGGGCACUGUCUGGAGUGAGAAGCCCUGAUUAGGGAGGUGGGAGCCGCGGGGAUAACGCAGCAGGAUGUGGCACAUCCUGCUCUGGGCCACACAUGGGGUGAGGGUGGAGGGUCUCUCCAUCCCCUCCAGGUGGCCACCAGCAGCUGAAUCACAGCCAUGUGCUCCAGGGGGACUUCUCUUGUUUCAGGGAUGGCACUGCAGGUUGGGAACAUGGACAUCUCUGUGCUUGGAUUAGCAUCCCACUCGCAGAUUACCAUCCUACAGUCAGAACAGCUCCAGCUCCUCCUGACAAUUAGCAGAGAGAGUCUUUACGACACACGGGGUGAUUACGUUGCCAUCGCAGCCUCCGUGGCCAGCACUGCCUUAUUAAAGGAGGGCCCCUCUUUCCAGGAGAACAUUGUGAUCAAAUUAGACUAAAAUUAACUGGAGUAAAUUAAGAAUAAGA